This 2251-nucleotide ribosomal RNA is filed under the name human gut metagenome. RNAcentral describes it as "bacterial LSU rRNA". It matches the Rfam family "Bacterial large subunit ribosomal RNA", at positions 589 to 2823 of the family's 2925-position model. The record is from RNAcentral.
UGGGGUGACUGCGUACCUUUUGUAUAAUGGGUCAGCGACUUAUAUUCUGUAGCAAGGUUAACCGUAUAGGGGAGCCGAAGGGAAACCGAGUCUUAACUGGGCGUUAAGUUGCAGGGUAUAGACCCGAAACCCGGUGAUCUAGCCAUGGGCAGGUUGAAGGUUGGGUAACACUAACUGGAGGACCGAACCGACUAAUGUUGAAAAAUUAGCGGAUGACCUGUGGCUGGGGGUGAAAGGCCAAUCAAACCGGGAGAUAGCUGGUUCUCCCCGAAAGCUAUUUAGGUAGCGCCUCGUGAACUCAUCUUCGGGGGUAGAGCACUGUUUCGGCUAGGGGGCCAUCCCGGCUUACCAACCCGAUGCAAACUACGAAUACCGAAGAAUGUUAUCACGGGAGACACACGGCGGGUGCUAACGUCCGUCGUGAAGAGGGAAACAACCCAGACCGCCAGCUAAGGUCCCAAAGUCAUGGUUAAGUGGGAAACGAUGUGGGAAGGCACAGACAGCCAGGAUGUUGGCUUAGAAGCAGCCAUCAUUUAAAGAAAGCGUAAUAGCUCACUGGUCGAGUCGGCCUGCGCGGAAGAUGUAACGGGGCUAAACCAUGCACCGAAGCUGCGGCAGCGACACUAUGUGUUGUUGGGUAGGGGAGCGUUCUGUAAGCCGUUGAAGGUGUGCUGUGAGGCAUGCUGGAGGUAUCAGAAGUGCGAAUGCUGACAUAAGUAACGAUAAAGCGGGUGAAAAGCCCGCUCGCCGGAAGACCAAGGGUUCCUGUCCAACGUUAAUCGGGGCAGGGUGAGUCGACCCCUAAGGCGAGGCCGAAAGGCGUAGUCGAUGGGAAACAGGUUAAUAUUCCUGUACUUGGUGUUACUGCGAAGGGGGGACGGAGAAGGCUAUGUCAGCCGGGCGACGGUUGUCCCGGUUUAAGCAUGUAGGCGGAGGUUCCAGGUAAAUCCGGUACCUUUUAACGCUGAGGUGUGAUGACGAGGCACUACGGUGCUGAAGUGAUAAAUGCCCUGCUUCCAGGAAAAGCCUCUAAGCAUCAGGUAACACGAAAUCGUACCCCAAACCGACACAGGUGGUCAGGUAGAGAAUACCAAGGCGCUUGAGAGAACUCGGGUGAAGGAACUAGGCAAAAUGGUGCCGUAACUUCGGGAGAAGGCACGCUGAUGUGUAGGUGAAGCCCCUGCGGGCGGAGCUGAAAUCAGUCGAAGAUACCAGCUGGCUGCAACUGUUUAUUAAAAACACAGCACUGUGCAAACACGAAAGUGGACGUAUACGGUGUGACGCCUGCCCGGUGCCGGAAGGUUAAUUGAUGGGGUUAGCUGUAAGGCGAAGCUCUUGAUCGAAGCCCCGGUAAACGGCGGCCGUAACUAUAACGGUCCUAAGGUAGCGAAAUUCCUUGUCGGGUAAGUUCCGACCUGCACGAAUGGCGUAAUGAUGGCCAGGCUGUCUCCACCCGAGACUCAGUGAAAUUGAACUCGCUGUGAAGAUGCAGUGUACCCGCGGCAAGACGGAAAGACCCCGUGAACCUUUACUAUAGCUUGACACUGAACACUGGUCCUUGAUGUGUAGGAUAGGUGGGAGGCUUUGAAGCGUGGACGCCAGUCUGCGUGGAGCCAACCUUGAAAUACCACCCUUUAAUGGCUGGUGUUCUAACGUAGACCCGUAAUCCGGGUUGCGGACAGUGUCUGGUGGGUAGUUUGACUGGGGCGGUCUCCUCCCAAAGAGUAACGGAGGAGCACGAAGGUUGGCUAAUCCUGGUCGGACAUCAGGAGGUUAGUGCAAUGGCAUAAGCCAGCUUGACUGCGAGCGUGACGGCGCGAGCAGGUGCGAAAGCAGGUCAUAGUGAUCCGGUGGUUCUGAAUGGAAGGGCCAUCGCUCAACGGAUAAAAGGUACUCCGGGGAUAACAGGCUGAUACCGCCCAAGAGUUCAUAUCGACGGCGGUGUUUGGCACCUCGAUGUCGGCUCAUCACAUCCUGGGGCUGAAGUAGGUCCCAAGGGUAUGGCUGUUCGCCAUUUAAAGUGGUACGCGAGCUGGGUUUAGAACGUCGUGAGACAGUUCGGUCCCUAUCUGCCGUGGGCGCUGGAGAAUUGAGGGGGGCUGCUCCUAGUACGAGAGGACCGGAGUGGACGCAUCACUGGUGUUCGGGUUGUCAUGCCAAUGGCACUGCCCGGUAGCUAAAUGCGGAAGAGAUAAGUGCUGAAAGCAUCUAAGCACGAAACUUGCCCCGAGAUGAGUUCUCCCUGAGACUU